UCACCACUCUGGCCUUUUAGCUUAGAUCAAGUGUAGUAUCUAUUCUUUAUAGGUAAAUCACCAUUAUAGAGGCACCACCUCCAUUCUUGGUUAUCUUAUUUUUGCCACCCUUUGUUGGUGAGCUCUGCAUACAACUCAACAACAUGAUGAUCUUGCCAUUGCAGUAUUGGCUUGUGUUGUCAGGGGAUC
RNAcentral lists this small nuclear RNA (189 nucleotides) under Fibroporia radiculosa. Its description in RNAcentral is "U2 spliceosomal RNA". It matches the Rfam family "U2 spliceosomal RNA". Rfam says of the family: U2 is a small nuclear RNA (snRNA) component of the spliceosome (involved in pre-mRNA splicing). Complementary binding between U2 snRNA (in an area lying towards the 5' end but 3' to hairpin I) and the branchpoint sequence (BPS) of the intron results the bulging out of an unpaired adenosine, on the BPS, which initiates a nucleophilic attack at the intronic 5' splice site, thus starting the first of two transesterification reactions that mediate splicing. Lineage: Eukaryota; Fungi; Basidiomycota; Agaricomycetes; Polyporales; Fibroporiaceae. The record is from Rfam by way of RNAcentral.